Molecule: long non-coding RNA, 1484 nt
Filed under: Homo sapiens (human)
Lineage: Eukaryota; Metazoa; Chordata; Mammalia; Primates; Hominidae
Description: HSALNT0359719
Source: RNAcentral
GCAGAUCCAGCCCCAGGAGCCAUAGAGAGGAGGUUUCGUGGGGUUUCAGUCACCCAGGCUGGAGUGCAGUGGUGCGUUCGCGGCUCCUUGCAGCCCCGCCCUCUCGGGCUCAGGUGAUCCUCCCAUCUCCGCCUCCCGAGUAGGUGGGACUACAGUAGUGUAUCAGCACACCCGGCUAUUUUUUUUUUUUUUUUUUUUUGUAGAGACAGGGUUUCGCCAUGUUGCCUAGGCUGGUCUCCAACCUGGUCUCCUGGGCUCAAGCGAUCCGCCCGCCUCGGCCUCCCACAGUGCUGGGAUUCCAGGCGUGAGCUACCGCGCCCGGCCUAUUUACUUUUCUUACUAAGCUGGGGAUCACCGUCGCCCUCGGCUUGGCAGGAAGGCGGGGGUGCAAGAAGAAAAGAGGUACAGAACACCCAGAGGUGCCCUCGAUUCCGUCUUGCACUUGCCCUUCUCCCACCGUCCAGCAAUAAAGCGAGAGAAACAAGUGCAGGAAACUGGCCGGCAGUCAUGGGAGAAGCCAAAAAGACAGGAGUUCAGUGGCAUGACCAGGGCUCACUGCAACCUUGAUCUGGGCUCAAGUGAUCCUCCUACCUCAGCUUCCUGAGUAGCUAGGACCACAGGUGUGCACCAACCACACCCGACUAAUUUUUGUAGAGAUGAGAUCCCACUAUGUUACCCAGGCUGGUCUUGAACUCCUGGGCUCAGGUGAUCAUCCUGCCUUGGCUUCCCAAAGUACUGGGAUUAUAGGCUUGAGCCACCGUGCCUGGCCUGUGAUCAGAAUUCUCAUUUUUUUAGUCACUAAAAAUGCUGGGGGGCACUCCAUUCUCCAUUAUGUGAUUAGUUCACAUUGCAUGCUUGUAUCAAAACAUCAUAUAUACCCCACAAAUAUAUACAAAAAACUUUAAAAUUUUAAGUAUUAAUUGCUCAGGAAAAAAUUAAAAUGCUGGGGUGCUGAAAUCUCAAGGGCCCCAUUACAAAACUCCUUAGGAACCUCGCCCUCUCUCUGCUGUAAGGACUGGUUCCAGAAUGAGAGAAUUUAAAAGACAUUCCCCCCCCAAAAUGUUCAUAAUGUCACCCCGGAAACCUGCGAAUAUGUUAUAUUACAUGACCAGGGAGAAGUAAGGUUGCAGAUGGCAGUAAGGUUGCUAAUGGGCUGACCUUAAGAUAAGGAGAUGAUCCUGGAUUAUCUGGGUGGACCCAAUGUAAUCACAAGGGUCCUUAACUGUGGAAUAGUGAGGUGGCUGAGUCAGAGGCAGAGUGAUGCAAUGACUGAAAGACUUAACCAGCCAUCACCGGCUUUGAAUACGGAAGACGGUCAUGAGCCAGGGAAUGCAGGCAGGCUCUGGGAGCUGAAAAAAGCAAGAAAAUGGAUUCUCCCCUGGAGCCUCCAGAAGGGAUGCGGUCCUGCCAACCCCUUGUCAGUGAGCCAUUUCAGAUUUCUGACUUCCAGGACUGUAAGAAAAUAAACUUGUCUUGUUUUCAGC